This 465-nucleotide ribosomal RNA is filed under the name Vreelandella stevensii. Its description in RNAcentral is "partial 16S ribosomal RNA". It matches the Rfam family "Bacterial small subunit ribosomal RNA", at positions 338 to 795 of the family's 1533-position model. Lineage: Bacteria; Pseudomonadati; Pseudomonadota; Gammaproteobacteria; Oceanospirillales; Halomonadaceae. The record is from RNAcentral.
CCUACGGGCGGCAGCAGUGGGGAAUAUUGGACAAUGGGGGGAACCCUGAUCCAGCCAUGCCGCGUGUGUGAAGAAGGCCCUCGGGUUGUAAAGCACUUUCAGUGAGGAAGAACGCCUGGUGGUUAAUACCCAUCAGGAAAGACAUCACUCACAGAAGAAGCACCGGCUAACUCCGUGCCAGCAGCCGCGGUAAUACGGAGGGUGCGAGCGUUAAUCGGAAUUACUGGGCGUAAAGCGCGCGUAGGUGGCUUGAUAAGCCGGUUGUGAAAGCCCCGGGCUCAACCUGGGAACGGCAUCCGGAACUGUCAAGCUAGAGUGCAGGAGAGGAAGGUAGAAUUCCCGGUGUAGCGGUGAAAUGCGUAGAGAUCGGGAGGAAUACCAGUGGCGAAGGCGGCCUUCUGGUCUGACACUGACACUGAGGUGCGAAAGCGUGGGUAGCAAACAGGAUUAGAUACCCCGGUAGUC